UACGGAGGGUGCGAGCGUUGUUCGGAAUCACUGGGCGUAAAGCGCGUGUAGGCGGCUUGGUAAGUCUGAUGUGAAAUCCCUGGGCUCAACCUAGGAACUGCAUCGGAUACUGCCUGGCUAGAGGACGAGAGAGGGAAGUGGAAUUCCUGGUGGAGGGGUGAAAUCCGUAGAUAUUGGGAAGAACACCGGUGGCGAAGGCGGCUCACUGGCUCGUUUCUGACGCUGAGGCGCGAAAGCGUGGGGAGCAAACAGG
Molecule: ribosomal RNA, 253 nt
Filed under: uncultured bacterium
Lineage: Bacteria
Description: partial 16S ribosomal RNA
Rfam family: Bacterial small subunit ribosomal RNA
Source: RNAcentral